RNAcentral lists this ribosomal RNA (611 nucleotides) under Hanseniaspora uvarum. RNAcentral describes it as "eukaryotic LSU rRNA". It matches the Rfam family "Eukaryotic large subunit ribosomal RNA", at positions 32 to 660 of the family's 3401-position model. The record is from RNAcentral. Lineage: Eukaryota; Fungi; Ascomycota; Saccharomycetes; Saccharomycodales; Saccharomycodaceae.
GCUUGCAUAUCAAAAAGCUGAGGAAAAGAAACCAACUGGGAUUACCUUAGUAACGGCGAGUGAAGCGGUAAAAGCUCAAAUUUGAAAUCUGGUACUUUCAGUGCCCGAGUUGUAAUUUGUAGAAUUUGUCUUUGAUUAGGUCCUUGUCUAUGUUCCUUGGAACAGGACGUCAUAGAGGGUGAGAAUCCCGUUUGGCGAGGAUACCUUUUCUCUGUAAGACUUUUUCGAAGAGUCGAGUUGUUUGGGAAUGCAGCUCAAAGUGGGUGGUAAAUUCCAUCUAAAGCUAAAUAUUGGCGAGAGACCGAUAGCGAACAAGUACAGUGAUGGAAAGAUGAAAAGAACUUUGAAAAGAGAGUGAAAAAGUACGUGAAAUUGUUGAAAGGGAAGGGCAUUUGAUCAGACAUGGUGUUUUUUGCAUGCACUCGCCUCUCGUGGGCUUGGGCCUCUCAAAAAUUUCACUGGGCCAACAUCAAUUCUGGCAGCAGGAUAAAUCAUUAAGAAUGUAGCUACUUCGGUAGUGUUAUAGCUUUUUGGAAUACUGUUAGCCGGGAUUGAGGACUGCGCUUCGGCAAGGAUGUUGGCAUAAUGGUUAAAUGCCGCCCGUCUGACCC